RNAcentral lists this ribosomal RNA (480 nucleotides) under uncultured bacterium. Its description in RNAcentral is "partial 16S ribosomal RNA". It matches the Rfam family "Bacterial small subunit ribosomal RNA", at positions 28 to 507 of the family's 1533-position model. The record is from RNAcentral.
GAUGAACGCUAGCGGCAGGCCUAAUACAUGCAAGUCGAGGGGUAUGGGUUGCUUGCAACCCAGAGACCGGCGCACGGGUGCGUAACGCGUAUGCAAUCUACCUUAAUCAGGGGGAUAGCCCGGAGAAAUCCGGAUUAACACCGCAUAACAUUGAGUUGUGGCAUCACAGUUCAAUCAAAUAUUUAUAGGAUUAAGAUGAGCAUGCGUGACAUUAGUUAGUUGGUGAGGUAACGGCUCACCAAGACCACGAUGUCUAGGGGAUCUGAGAGGAUGACCCCCCACACUGGUACUGAGACACGGGCCAGACUCCUACGGGAGGCAGCAGUAAGGAAUAUUGGUCAAUGGGCGCAAGCCUGAACCAGCCAUGCCGCGUGCAGGAAGACGGCCCUAUGGGUUGUAAACUGCUUUUGUACCGGAAUAAACCUUCUCUUGCGAGAGAAGCUGAACGUACGGUAAGAAUAAGGAUCGGCUAACUCCGUG